RNAcentral lists this ribosomal RNA (253 nucleotides) under uncultured bacterium. RNAcentral describes it as "partial 16S ribosomal RNA". It matches the Rfam family "Bacterial small subunit ribosomal RNA", at positions 524 to 776 of the family's 1533-position model. The record is from RNAcentral.
UACGAAGGGGGCUAGCGUUGCUCGGAAUCACUGGGCGUAAAGCGCACGUAGGCGGCUCUUUAAGUCAGGGGUGAAAUCCUGGAGCUCAACUCCAGAACUGCCUUUGAUACUGAGGAGCUUGAGUUCGGGAGAGGUGAGUGGAACUGCGAGUGUAGAGGUGAAAUUCGUAGAUAUUCGCAAGAACACCAGUGGCGAAGGCGGCUCACUGGCCCGAUACUGACGCUGAGGUGCGAAAGCGUGGGGAGUAAACAGG